CCUACGGGAGGCAGCAGUGGGGAAUAUUGCGCAAUGGGCGAAAGCCUGACGCAGCGACGCCGCGUGAGGGAUGAAGGUCUUCAGAUCGUAAACCUCUGUCAGCAGGGAAGAACGGUCACUGUGCUAAUCAGCAGUGAAUUGACGGUACCUGCAAAGGAAGCACCGGCUAACUCCGUGCCAGCAGCCGCGGUAAUACGGGGGGGUCGGGCGUUAAUCGGACUUACGGGGCGUAACGCGCACGUAGGCGGUAUGUCAAGUCAAGGGUGAAAUCCCCGCGCUCAACGUGGGAACUGACUUUGAAACUGGCAAACUGGAGUGUGUGAGAGGAUAGUGGAAUUCCAGGUGUAGGAGUGAAAUCCGUAGAUAUCUGGAGGAACAUCAGUGGCGAAGGCGACUAUCUGGCACAUAACUGACGCUGAGGAGCGAAAGCGUGGGUAGCAAACAGGAUUAGAUACCCUGGUAGUC
This 465-nucleotide ribosomal RNA is filed under the name uncultured bacterium. Its description in RNAcentral is "partial 16S ribosomal RNA". It matches the Rfam family "Bacterial small subunit ribosomal RNA", at positions 338 to 795 of the family's 1533-position model. The record is from RNAcentral.